CAUAUGCUUGUUUCAAGGACUUAGCCAUGCAUGCCUCAGAAUAACUGCACUGCAGGAAUCUGCGCAUGGCUCAUUACAUCAGAUGUAAUCUGCCGCAAAAGUUUUGCGGUUUACCGCGAUAAUGGAUAACUUGGCGAAAUGCCAAGCUAAUACAUGAACCAACCGGGCGUUCUCCAUCCCAGACGGCGGGCAACUGUCGUCGUGAGACACCCAGCGAAUGAAUGAAAUUUAAAACCAAUGCCUUCACUGGCAGUAACACCUAGAAGUGUUGACUCAAUUCAUUCCGUGCGAAAGCCGGAUCUUUCCGGCGUUUUUUGACGAACAACUGCCCUAUCAUGCUUGAUGGCCGUGUAGUGGACUGCCAUGGCGUUGACGGGAGCGGGGGAUUAGGGUUCGAUUCCGGAGAGGGAGCCUGAGAAAUAGCUACCACUUCUACGGAGGGCAGCAGGCGCGCAAAUUGCCCAAUGUCAAAACAAAACGAUGAGGCAGCGAAAAGAAAUAGAGUUGACAGUCCAUACGGAUUGGAGAUUACAAUGGGGGAUAUUUAAACCCAUCCAAAAUCGAGAAACAAUUGGAGGACAAGUCUGGUGCCAGCACCCGCGGUAAUUCCAGCUCCAAAAGCGUAUAUUAAUGCUGUUGCUGUUAAAGGGUUCGUAGUUGAAUUGAGGGCCGUGUUAGGAAGCGUCCUAGAAUGUCCCGUUCAAUCUUGGAUUUGGUGACACAGGACCUCGCGGCUCGUGAACGUACCAAUGUCGCGCAAGCGACUGAAACAAAAAACACGGGAGUGGUUCCUUUCCUGAUUCACG
This 806-nucleotide ribosomal RNA is filed under the name Trypanosomatidae sp. E04. RNAcentral's name for it is "SSU rRNA". It matches the Rfam family "Eukaryotic small subunit ribosomal RNA", at positions 25 to 756 of the family's 1831-position model. Lineage: Eukaryota; Euglenozoa; Kinetoplastea; Trypanosomatida; Trypanosomatidae. The record is from RNAcentral.